AUACGGAGGGUCCAAGCGUUAUCCGGAAUCAUUGGGUUUAAAGGGUUCGUAGGCGGGUCAAUAAGUCAGAGGUGAAAUCUUGCAGCUUAACUGUAAAAUUGCCUUUGAAACUGUUGACCUUGAAUUACUGUGAAGUGGUUAGAAUAUGUAGUGUAGCGGUGAAAUGCUUAGAGAUUACAUAGAAUACCGAUUGCGAAGGCAGAUCACUAACAGUAUAUUGACGCUGAUGAACGAAAGCGUGGGUAGCGAACGGGAUUAGAAACCCUUGUAGUCC
RNAcentral lists this ribosomal RNA (274 nucleotides) under uncultured bacterium. RNAcentral describes it as "partial 16S ribosomal RNA". It matches the Rfam family "Bacterial small subunit ribosomal RNA", at positions 523 to 796 of the family's 1533-position model. The record is from RNAcentral.